GUGGGUAACCUGCCCUUAAGUGGGGGAUAACAUUUGGAAACAGAUGCUAAUACCGCAUAGAUCCAAGAACCGCAUGGUUCUUGGCUGAAAGAUGGCGUAAGCUAUCGCUUUUGGAUGGACCCGCGGCGUAUUAGCUAGUUGGUGAGGUAAUGGCUCACCAAGGCGAUGAUACGUAGCCGAACUGAGAGGUUGAUCGGCCACAUUGGGACUGAGACACGGCCCAAACUCCUACGGGAGGCAGCAGUAGGGAAUCUUCCACAAUGGACGAAAGUCUGAUGGAGCAACGCCGCGUGAGUGAAGAAGGUUUUCGGAUCGUAAAACUCUGUUGUCAGAGAAGAACGUGUGCGAGAGUAACUGCUCGUGCAGUGACGGUAUCUGGCCAGAAAGCCACGGCUAACUACGUGCCAGCAGCCGCGGUAAUACGUAGGUGGCAAGCGUUGUCCGGAUUUAUUGGGCGUAAAGGGAACGCAGGCGGUCUUUUAAGUCUGAUGUGAAAGCCUUCGGCUUAACCGAAGUCGUGCAUUGGAAACUGGGAGACUUGAGUGCAGAAGAGGAGAGUGGAACUCCAUGUGUAGCGGUGAAAUGCGUAGAUAUAUGGAAGAACACCAGUGGCGAAAGCGGCUCUCUGGUCUGUAACUGACGCUGAGGUUCGAAAGCGUGGGUAGCAAACAGGAUUAGAUACCCUGGUAGUCCACGCUGUAAACGAUGAAUGCUA
Molecule: ribosomal RNA, 715 nt
Filed under: uncultured bacterium
Lineage: Bacteria
Description: bacterial SSU rRNA
Rfam family: Bacterial small subunit ribosomal RNA
Source: RNAcentral